This 72-nucleotide transfer RNA is filed under the name Bos taurus (domestic cattle). It matches the Rfam family "tRNA". Rfam says of the family: Transfer RNA (tRNA) molecules are approximately 80 nucleotides in length. Their secondary structure includes four short double-helical elements and three loops (D, anti-codon, and T loops). RNAcentral also lists the same sequence under 2 other names. The record is from Rfam by way of RNAcentral. Lineage: Eukaryota; Metazoa; Chordata; Mammalia; Artiodactyla; Bovidae.
UCUCUGGUGGCUCAGAUGGUAAAGAAUCUGUCUGCAAUACAGGUGACCCAGGUUCGAUUCCUGGGUGGGGAC